RNAcentral lists this ribosomal RNA (482 nucleotides) under uncultured bacterium. RNAcentral's name for it is "bacterial SSU rRNA". It matches the Rfam family "Bacterial small subunit ribosomal RNA", at positions 15 to 507 of the family's 1533-position model. The record is from RNAcentral.
GAUCAUGGCUCAGGAUGAUCGCUGGCGGCGUGCUUAACACAUGCAAGUCGAACGAAGAUGCCGGAGUGCUUGCACUUUGGCAGACUGAGUGGCGGACGGGUGAGUAACGCGUGGGUAACCUGCCUUAUACAGGGGGAUAACAGUUGGAAACGACUGCUAAUACCGCAUAAGCGCACGGUAUCGCAUGAUACAGUGUGAAAAACUCCGGUGGUAUAAGAUGGACCCGCGUCUGAUUAGCUUGUUGGUGAGGUAACGGCCCACCAAGGCGACGAUCAGUAGCCGGCCUGAGAGGGUGAACGGCCACAUUGGGACUGAGACACGGCCCAAACUCCUACGGGAGGCAGCAGUGGGGAAUAUUGCACAAUGGGGGAAACCCUGAUGCAGCGACGCCGCGUGAGUGAUGAAGUAUUUCGGUAUGUAAAACUCUAUCAGCAGGGAAGAUAAUGACGGUACCUGACUAAGAAGCACCGGCUAAAUACGUG